CGGGUUGUCAUGCCAAUGGCACUGCCCGGUAGCUAAAUGCGGAAGAGAUAAGUGCUGAAAGCAUCUAAGCACGAAACUUGCCCCGAGAUGAGUUCUCCCUGAGACUUAGAGUCUCCUGAAGGAACGUUGAAGACGACGACGUUGAUAGGCCGGGUGUGUAAGCGCAGCGAUGCGUUGAGCUAACCGGUACUAAUGAACCGUGAGGCUUAACCUUACAACGCCGAAGCUGUU
RNAcentral lists this ribosomal RNA (231 nucleotides) under Escherichia coli. Its description in RNAcentral is "partial 23S ribosomal RNA". It matches the Rfam family "Bacterial large subunit ribosomal RNA", at positions 2717 to 2925 of the family's 2925-position model. The record is from RNAcentral. Lineage: Bacteria; Pseudomonadati; Pseudomonadota; Gammaproteobacteria; Enterobacterales; Enterobacteriaceae.